CUCGCUUUGAGCGGAGAUCUGAAAGCAUCGGCGAGCGAGCUGUUGGUCUCCACGCAUCUCUCCGACUCCGUUUUUGGUCGGAAACCGAACCAGGAGGUGAUACGUCGAAACUAUCGCCCUGAGGGCGUUUAGUCCGGGUCUUCCAAGUAUGGCGUUGUAAGCUGAAGACACUUGGACGACCGCAAAAGUCAAAUGGACUGUGCUUUGUCGUG
Molecule: long non-coding RNA, 212 nt
Filed under: Elaeis guineensis (African oil palm)
Lineage: Eukaryota; Viridiplantae; Streptophyta; Magnoliopsida; Arecales; Arecaceae
Description: long non-coding RNA (EGUI_LNC076254)
Source: RNAcentral